This 468-nucleotide ribosomal RNA is filed under the name uncultured bacterium. Its description in RNAcentral is "partial 16S ribosomal RNA". It matches the Rfam family "Bacterial small subunit ribosomal RNA", at positions 28 to 507 of the family's 1533-position model. The record is from RNAcentral.
GACGAACGCUGGCGGCGUGCUUAACACAUGCAAGUCGAACGGAAAGGCCCUGCUUUUGUGGGGUGCUCGAGUGGCGAACGGGUGAGUAACACGUGAGUAACCUGCCCUUGACUUUGGGAUAACUUCAGGAAACUGGGGCUAAUACCGGAUAGGAGCUCCUGCUGCAUGGUGGGGGUUGGAAAGUUUCGGCGGUUGGGGAUGGACUCGCGGCUUAUCAGCUUGUUGGUGGGGUAGUGGCUUACCAAGGCUUUGACGGGUAGCCGGCCUGAGAGGGUGACCGGCCACAUUGGGACUGAGAUACGGCCCAGACUCCUACGGGAGGCAGCAGUGGGGAAUAUUGCACAAUGGGCGGGAGCCUGAUGCAGCAACGCCGCGUGCGGGAAGACGGCCUUCGGGUUGUAAACCGCUUUCGCCUGUGACGGAGCGUGAGUGACGGUAAUGGGUGAAGAAGCACCGGCUAACUACGUG